AUGAACGCUGGCGGCGUGCUUAACACAUGCAAGUCGAACGAGAACGGAUUAUAGCUUGCUAUAAUUGUCAGCUAAGUGGCGCACGGGUGAGUAAUAUAUAGAUAACCUGCCCUCUAGAAAGGAAUAACAGUUGGAAACGACUGCUAAUGCCCUAUAUGCCUUUAAUACAUAAGUAUGCAAGGGAAACGCUUUAGUGCUAGAGGAUGGGUCUGUAUGGUAUCAGCUUGUUGGUGAGGUAAUGGCUCACCAAGGCUAUGACGCCUAACUGGUUUGAGAGGAUGAUCAGUCAUACUGGAACUGAGACACGGUCCAGACUCCUACGGGAGGCAGCAGUGGGGAAUAUUGCACAAUGGACGAAAGUCUGAUGCAGCAACGCCGCGUGGAGGAUGACACAUUUCGGUGCGUAAACUCCUUUUAUAUAGGAAGAUAAUGACGGUACUAUAUGAAUAAGCACCGGCUAACUCCGUG
This 468-nucleotide ribosomal RNA is filed under the name uncultured bacterium. Its description in RNAcentral is "bacterial SSU rRNA". It matches the Rfam family "Bacterial small subunit ribosomal RNA", at positions 29 to 507 of the family's 1533-position model. The record is from RNAcentral.